This is a non-coding RNA of Armillaria borealis, 96 nucleotides long. The record is from the annotation of a GenBank genome assembly. NCBI's taxonomy places the organism in Eukaryota, Fungi, Basidiomycota, Agaricomycetes, Agaricales, Physalacriaceae.
GCAUUAAUGGGGUAGUGGUAACCUGGGUCGUUGCCAUCGGGGUAAUAUGCUAUCGUAGUUAUCGACCCGCCGGGGGUUCGAUUCCCUCUUAAUGCA